This 365-nucleotide ribosomal RNA is filed under the name uncultured bacterium. RNAcentral's name for it is "bacterial SSU rRNA". It matches the Rfam family "Bacterial small subunit ribosomal RNA", at positions 28 to 405 of the family's 1533-position model. The record is from RNAcentral.
GAUGAACGCUGGCGGCGUGCCUAACACAUGCAAGUCGGACGGUGCCUUCGGGCACAGCGGCGCACGGGUGAGGAACACGUAGCCAACCUGCCCUGGAGCGCGGGAUAACGCCCCGAGAGGGGUGCUAAGACCGCCUACGCUCGCCGGAUGUAGAGGCCGGUGAGGAAAAACGAAAGUUGCUCUGGGAGGGGCUGCGGCCCAUCAGGUAGUUGGUGGGGUAACGCCUACCAAGCCGACGACGGGCGGGGUCUGAGAGGAUGACUCCCCACACUGGGACUGAGACACGGCCCAGACGUCCUACGGGAGGCAGCAGUGAGGAAUCUUGCACAAGUGGGGGCAACCCUGAUGCAGCGACGCCGCGUGGG